This 216-nucleotide long non-coding RNA is filed under the name Panax ginseng (ginseng). Its description in RNAcentral is "long non-coding RNA (PGIN_LNC007364)". Lineage: Eukaryota; Viridiplantae; Streptophyta; Magnoliopsida; Apiales; Araliaceae. The record is from RNAcentral.
AAAGGAGAAGGUACUUCAUAGUUUGAAUAAAAAAAAAGGAAAGAUUGUCUUAGAAUACAAUUUUUUGACAGAGUAGACUCGGUAGUAGAAGACUCGUCUAAAAGAAAGGAGACAGAGGUUGUAGGAGGAUCAUCUGCUGCAGACGAAGCAGAACCCUCCUUAGAAGAGAAGACAAUUCCUUCGUCAAUCACAAAUGUUCCUGAUGAAGUGUUAGGU